This is a long non-coding RNA of Nasonia vitripennis (jewel wasp), 1680 nucleotides long. RefSeq lists it as uncharacterized. The record is from RefSeq and is a predicted model, not a curated record. NCBI's taxonomy places the organism in Eukaryota, Metazoa, Arthropoda, Insecta, Hymenoptera, Pteromalidae. The transcript has 4 exons.
GAAGUGCAAACCUGCGAAAUGUGCAAUAAUGUACUCGCCGGUUUGUACUUCUUAUACUGUAUACAUGUGUGGACAGGAUGAGAGAGUCGAGUCGCUGCGGCUUUAAUUAACCGCCACUAAUUGCCUGCUCGGCGAUUUUUCAGGACGAGAGGGACGGCUGCAGAGUGCGGAGGACUGCUGACUGCUGAGCGAAAUGUGAUUUUUACUUGUGAUAAUCUGUAUGUAUGUAUGGAGAGGCGGACACGCGUGCUUUCGAGGGAGUUAGUCAUCUUGAUCGGACGUGUUUGUUUUCCGAUGCAUAUGCAUGUUUGCACGUCCUUUGUCGUUAUCGAUAAAGUCGUGUGGCUUGUUAAGCGGCGGAAGGGAAGAUUCUACAAGUUAUAUAACCUAUAUAUCGGACAUCGAGAGAAAGCGAAAAGCACGCAGCUCGCAGAUUCGUGAUCUCAUUGUGCGCCGUCCUCCUGGACAAUUUAAGCCGGAUACGUCCAUGUGCAGCGGUUUGCCCGAUGCUACUAUGAAAAUGGCGAGCAGCAUAUGUCGCAACUAAGGUGAACCAUAGAAAAGUCACCUGAGACAUAAUACCGCCAGCAACGAACCGGCCAUAUGCGAAUUCACGACACAGGAAAUCUUCAACAAUGACGCUUAUAAAUACUGUGAACUCUGUCUCUCUCGCUCUCUUCGCACAGAAGCUGCCGCAGGUGCCAAAGCAGCAGCUUUUUAUUAUACGCAGCCAAUCCAUCGGAAAACCGUAACAACAGCAGCAGCAGCAGCAACGGCGGCGGCGGCCAAGUGCACACAAGGUGCAGCAGCAGUCCUCCCCCUCAAAGUGCCCAAAGAGUUAUCCCUCUUCGAUCCGAUGCACAGACAAAAACGCCGCCACGGCAGUAGGCGUACAAACGAGCAGCCAAGGAGAAGAAGACAGUUUGAGUGAUGGGCCGGCAAGAUAAUGCGCACCUAGGCGCCGUAGAUCAGUGUCGCGCGCGCGCAUCUGCGCGUGCGGCCCCGUUUAUAACGCUUCGAUCUGCGCUCUCGGCCGGCUGCAUUGCCGUAUGGAGAUGCCUAUCGAGCGGAACCAACCCUUUUUUAUCUCUCUUCGAAAGCGGGGGCGCCGCCGCAUCUGGGGGCUCGCUCUCGCUCAUUAGCCUAAGCGGUACAAACGCUCGCCUCGAGCGAUGAGCGCGAAAAUUAUCGAGGCGGUUUAUCAGCGUCGCAUCGAUGAGGAUGUGGGCAGGAAGUGUGUAGUCGAAGGAGGAGGACAAUGCGAACGAGUUGCCUCGAAUUUUCUCUUGUCUAUACGCGUGUGCGUGCGCGAGGUGAUGCUUCGGGCCACCCGUAUUAUGAGGAUGUAUGCUAUGCGUAGAAUGGGAGAGAGAGAGAGAGAGAGAGAGACGCGUACAUUCAGAGGCAAAUGAGAGAGACGAGGUGAAUAGCGGGCGAGGAUGUAGACACCUGUACGCUACUACGCGGGUAUUAUGUCUUUCAAUCAGGUGCAGAGAUGUAUGUGUGUGUCUGCGUGUGUUUCAGAGGCGCGUCUAAUCUCGAGAGAGGUGUACGCUUCUGACUUUCUUUAUUUUGUGAGCGGCCUGUGUUGUACACGAAUAUUCUUCUCGGGGGAACGUGUAUUUGAGUGAGCGGAGCGCUCAUUGUGCGCUCUGAUAAAGAAUCUUCUUUUAAACAGAU